RNAcentral lists this ribosomal RNA (492 nucleotides) under uncultured bacterium. RNAcentral's name for it is "partial 16S ribosomal RNA". It matches the Rfam family "Bacterial small subunit ribosomal RNA", at positions 29 to 507 of the family's 1533-position model. The record is from RNAcentral.
AGUGAACGCUGGCGGUAUGCCUAACACAUGCAAGUCGAACGGCAGCACAGUAAGAGCUUGCUCUUACGGGUGGCGAGUGGCGGACGGGUGAGGAAUACAUCGGAAUCUACUUUUUCGUGGGGGAUAACGUAGGGAAACUUAUGCUAAUACCGCAUACGACCUACGGGUGAAAGCAGGGGAUCUUCGGACCUUGCGCGAUUGAAUUAGCCGAUGUCGGAUUAGCUAGUUGGCGGGGUAACGGCCCACCAAGGCAACGAUCCGUAGCUGGUCUGAGAGGAUGAUCGGCCACACUGGAACUGAGACACGGUCCAGACUCCUACGGGAGGCAGCAGUGGGGAAUAUUGGGCAAUGGGCGCAAGCCUGAUCCAGCAAUACCGCGUGAGUGAAGAAGGCCUUCGGGUUGUAAAGCCCUUUUGUUGGGAAAGAAAAGCAGCAGGUUAAUACCCCGCUGUUCUGACGGUACCCAAUGAAUAAGCACCGGCUAACUUCGUG